GAUGAACGCUGGCGGCGUGCUUAACACAUGCAAGUCGAACGAUGAAGCCCAGCUUGCUGGGUGGAUUAGUGGCGAACGGGUGAGUAACACGUGAGUAACCUGCCCUUAACUCUGGGAUAAGCCUGGGAAACUGGGUCUAAUACCGGAUAGGAGCGUCCACCGCAUGGUGGGUGUUGGAAAGAUUUAUCGGUUUUGGAUGGACUCGCGGCCUAUCAGCUUGUUGGUGAGGUAAUGGCUCACCAAGGCGACGACGGGUAGCCGGCCUGGGAGGGUGACCGGCCACACUGGGACUGGGGCACGACCCAGACUCCUUCGGGAGGCAGCGGUGGGGACUAGUGCACAAUGGGCGCAGGCCUGGUGCAGCGACGCCGCGUGGGGAAUGACGGCCUUCGGGUUGUAAACCUCUUUCAGUAGGGAAGAAGCGAAAGGGACGGUACCUGCAGAAGAGGCACCGGCUAACUACGU
RNAcentral lists this ribosomal RNA (465 nucleotides) under uncultured bacterium. Its description in RNAcentral is "partial 16S ribosomal RNA". It matches the Rfam family "Bacterial small subunit ribosomal RNA", at positions 28 to 506 of the family's 1533-position model. The record is from RNAcentral.